GUCAUAGGUCGCAAGUUGGAUGCAGGCGAGUCGGAACGGUCGCUCUGCACUGGCUCGCGCCUUGU
This 65-nucleotide small RNA is filed under the name Sinorhizobium meliloti 2011. RNAcentral describes it as "putative ncRNA". The record is from RNAcentral. Lineage: Bacteria; Pseudomonadati; Pseudomonadota; Alphaproteobacteria; Hyphomicrobiales; Rhizobiaceae.